AAGACUUGUGAGAUACUAACCCACAUCUAAUGAAUGCAACUCAAACACUUUAAUUAAGCUAAAGCCUU
RNAcentral lists this transfer RNA (68 nucleotides) under Anolis luciae. Its description in RNAcentral is "tRNA-Ala". The record is from RNAcentral. Lineage: Eukaryota; Metazoa; Chordata; Lepidosauria; Squamata; Anolidae.